RNAcentral lists this ribosomal RNA (431 nucleotides) under uncultured delta proteobacterium. RNAcentral describes it as "bacterial SSU rRNA". It matches the Rfam family "Bacterial small subunit ribosomal RNA", at positions 958 to 1385 of the family's 1533-position model. Lineage: Bacteria; Deltaproteobacteria. The record is from RNAcentral. RNAcentral also lists the same sequence under 1 other name.
AACGCGAAGAACCUUACCCGGGCUUGAACUACGGAUGGUAAGUCCCAAGAAACUGGGGCUGACCCGCAAGGGAGUCCGCAGAGGUGCUGCAUGGUUGUCGUCAGCUCGUGUCGUGAGAUGUUGGGUUAAGUCCCGCAACGAGCGCAACCCCUAUCUCAUGUUGCUAAUCCCGUAAGGGAUGCACUCUUGAGAAACUGCCUUCGAUAAGAAGGAGGAAGGUGGGGACGACGUCAAAUCCUCAUGGCCCUUAUGUCCGGGGCUACACACGUGUUACAAUGGCCGGUACAAUGGGAAGCAAUGCCGCAAGGUGGAGCCAAACCCACAAAGCCGGCCCCAGUUCAGAUUGUGGGCUGCAACUCGCCCACAUGAAGGCGGAAUCGCUAGUAAUCGCUGAUCAGCAGGCAGCGGUGAAUACGUUCCCGGGCCUUGUA